RNAcentral lists this ribosomal RNA (405 nucleotides) under uncultured bacterium. RNAcentral describes it as "bacterial SSU rRNA". It matches the Rfam family "Bacterial small subunit ribosomal RNA", at positions 354 to 777 of the family's 1533-position model. The record is from RNAcentral.
GUGGGGAAUAUUGCGCAAUGGGGGAAACCCUGACGCAGCAACGCCGCGUGCGGGAUGAAGGCUUUCGGGUUGUAAACCGCUUUCAGCAGGGAAGAUAGUGACGGUACCUGCAGAAGAAGCCCCGGCUAAAUACGUGCCAGCAGCCGCGGUAAUACGUAUGGGGCGAGCGUUAUCCGGAUUCAUUGGGCGUAAAGCGCGCGCAGGCGGGCUGCUAAGCGGGACCUCUAAUCUCGGGGCUCAACCCCGAGCCGGGUUCCGAACUGGCAGCCUCGGGUUCGGUAGGGGUAGGCGGAAUUCCCGGUGUAGCGGUGGAAUGCGCAGAUAUCGGGAAGAACACCGAUGGCGAAGGCAGCCUACUGGGCCGCAACCGACGCUGAGGCGCGAAAGCUGGGGGAGCGAACAGGA